RNAcentral lists this long non-coding RNA (347 nucleotides) under Malus domestica (apple). Its description in RNAcentral is "long non-coding RNA (MDOM_LNC008498)". Lineage: Eukaryota; Viridiplantae; Streptophyta; Magnoliopsida; Rosales; Rosaceae. The record is from RNAcentral.
GGCGGUCUUGGGGGGGAAUUAAGGAAAAGGGGGAGCUGCCCUUUGGGCAGCUCGAGAAGGGAGUCAGCGUGAGGGCAGAAGAACAGAGGCAGGGGAGAGACUGACGCGAGAGGACAGGGAAGACUAAGUGUGCGAAAAAAAAAAAUAAGAAAUAAGAAGAUAGAAGCAGAGAGACUGACGAGAGAGGCAGUGUGCAGAAAACAGAGAGGACAGACCGAGGGCAGAAGCAGCAAGCACUCUCCUCUCUCUCGGUUAAAUCUUUCUAAAUCUAUAUUUUAUUUCUGUUUUAAUAAUGUGUAAUUAAAUUUUAUUUUGGCUAGAGGUUAAUUCAAAAACAUGAAUAUAUU